This is a long non-coding RNA of Misgurnus anguillicaudatus (oriental weatherfish), 1088 nucleotides long. RefSeq lists it as uncharacterized. The record is from RefSeq and is a predicted model, not a curated record. Lineage: Eukaryota; Metazoa; Chordata; Actinopteri; Cypriniformes; Cobitidae.
CAAACUACUGUAUGAGAACCUACCUGUACAAAAUACUAAGCUGAGCUGCUAUUACACUGUAGAAUUGGAAGUCUAAUGUAUGUCUGUGCUGUUGAAGAAUUUCAGUAAAUUAGUCAAAUUGAUAACUGCCUCCUGUCAUGCGUUCUGACCGACGUUCCAGGGCGAGAGCUAUAGCCUCCUAAGCACCUGCGGUUCUUUCUCCUAAAUAAUAAUUCUCCUGUGCAUCAUCUAAAGCAGGGGUGACCAACCCUGUUCCUGGAGUUUUUAGGUCUCCCUGAAAUGCUUGAUUGCCAGGUUCAGGUGUGUUUGAUUAGGGUUGGAGCUUAACUCGGCAGGACAGUAGAUCCCCAGGAACAGGGUUGGUCACCACUGAUCUAAAGUGUUUGUUUUUUAAGCAUGAAAGCUUAAAGGGGACAUUCCACAAGACUUAAGAUGUAAAAUAAAUCUUUAGUGUCCAUAUGUAAAGUUUUAGCUCAAAACAUCAUACAGAACAUUUAUUGUAGCAUUUCAAAAUAGGCACUUUAUGGGUGUAAGCAAAGAUACACAGUUUUGUGUGUAUCUCUUUAAAUCCAAAUGAGCUGGUGCUCAGGUGGGCGGAGUCUCAAGAGCUGGGGCACGUUCAAUCUCACACCGGUGCACAACGUUUUGCUACGGUUUCCGGGUUGAACGACAUGUUUCCUGGAAACGGUGUGCAACGGAAUGCAACAGGUUUUAGAAGCGUUUUCUCUUAUUUAGUGGGUGUGUCAGAAAUGUCGGCCCAACAGCGGCAAGAUGUAUAAAACCACGCGGUAGUAAAGAGACAGCUCGCUCAAUGGGUUCAAGUUGGAAUGUUGUCUUUCAUUCUGGACGGCAAGGAUUGACAUCUCUUCGAUAUCCUAGCAAUCAAGCCAGUUGAUCUAUUUCACUUUUGGGGGUAGGCUCCGCCCCUGCUUUCAACAUCAGGCAGGAUCUGCCGGACUACAGCUAGACCCGGACGAAAGGCGGGGCAUAUGCCAAAAUCUUAUGAGACUCAAGCAUCUCUUUUAUUUUGAGACUGAUUUGAAUUUCUGUCUUUUAAUUUAACAUGGAAUAAAUGUCAUUCAAACGUU